GGAGGGAUGGCCGAGUGGUCUAUGGCGACGCUCUUGAAAAGCGUUGUGGGGUUUUCCCACCGGGGGUUCGAAUCCCUCUCCCUCCGCCU
This 89-nucleotide transfer RNA is filed under the name Chloroflexota bacterium. RNAcentral's name for it is "tRNA-Ser". It matches the Rfam family "tRNA". From Rfam's summary of the family: Transfer RNA (tRNA) molecules are approximately 80 nucleotides in length. Their secondary structure includes four short double-helical elements and three loops (D, anti-codon, and T loops). Lineage: Bacteria; Bacillati; Chloroflexota. The record is from RNAcentral.